Long non-coding RNA from Oryzias melastigma (Indian medaka), 1293 nucleotides. RefSeq lists it as uncharacterized. Lineage: Eukaryota; Metazoa; Chordata; Actinopteri; Beloniformes; Adrianichthyidae. The record is from RefSeq and is a predicted model, not a curated record. The transcript is spliced from 2 exons.
GGUGGACAGGAAGCCUCGUUGACGGGCUUUGGCUUGAUUUCACGAGGGCCUGAGGUAAGGCAUUUUCUAUGGGUGACGUCAACACCUCACUCAGGUGUUCAGGUGAGUCCAGCCAGUUAGAACAUACAAGAGCAGGGUAUGCUGGAAAACAAGCAGGAAUGAAGUACUCGAGUUCCCUAUCCCCGGCAUAGAUCAUACUAAGGAGGAGAGGCAUGUUAAAAUCCAACUGAUUGUUUAGGAGAACUCUGACUUCCUGUUCUUGUUCAGUCUUGCUGCAGCUCCGCCCCCGUCUGCAGCUGCCCGGUCUCAUUAGGUGUGUUGGAGAUCCCCCAGCGCCACCAUGCACUGCAAUCCAGGCCAUCUGCACAGCGCAGACAAUCUCAAACACAGGUAUUGAGUCGAUGGUUCACCUCUGAAACCGAUAGAGUUCCACUUACAGAUCGGUUUUCUCUCGGGUCGUGUGCAGGCCUCUCUUCUCCACUUCCUCCAGCUUCUCCAGAGGAAUCCUGAUCUGUUUGCUGUCCAGCAGAAGGAUUUCGUCCCUCCUGUGCAUCCAUGGUCCUCCCAGAGGUGUUGGACUGGUUGGACAUGUCAGUUUUUGUUUCUGCAGUUUAGUGUCUUUGAUUCUGCUCAUUUUCCGGUUCAGUUGACUGACUUUCGUUGGCGCAACUUGCUGCCAAAGCUUCAUCAGUUUCAUGUCUUUGAUAUUUCAACAGGAAUCCUGGGUCUGAAAUGUUUCCCCAUGCUUGGGAAACUACAUCCACAUUCUCUUGUGAAAGGUCAUUACUCUUGAGAACUUCAAUCUUUGGCUGGCACAUCUCCUUUGCCUUGCUCUUCGCAAUUUCUUUUAAGUUUUCUUCAAUACAAAUGCUGAUUUCCUCUGCCAGAAUCUUUUCAUACUUUUGUUCAAAGUAGUGGUUUUGGCACUGAUUACAAUUGCAGCAUGUUAUUAUUCUUGGUUUCACAUAUUCAACAGAGAUCCAGAAAGGUAGGACAAUGCAGCAAAGCCCAAGACCAAUAUCCUGAAAAAAAGAAAAAAAAGAUUUUAAAGUUCCCCUCUGAUGAAAAUACUCUUUUUUAGUUUUUAACAUGUAUGUUUGGCAUUUUUCUUAUGAAAGAGAAUCAGAAGCAUUUAUUGUAAUUGUAACAGUACAUUACAACAAAAUUACAUGUAAGUAGUGGUGGGAGUUGGGCGGGGGGCAAAGUACACAAGGGGAUCAGCGGAGGCAAAAAAAAAAGAACAAACAUCUGUACUCUGCUCCAAAGGGGCAGAAUAUAGGUACAUAAAAAAAA